UACGUAGGUGGCAAGCGUUAUCCGGAUUUAUUGGGCGUAAAGAGAACGCAGGCGGUCUUUUAAGUCUGAUGUGAAAGCCUUCGGCUUAACCGGAGUAGUGCAUUGGAAACUGGGAGACUUGAGUGCAGAAGAGGAGAGUGGAACUCCAUGUGUAGCGGUGAAAUGCGUGGAUAUAUGGAGGAACACCGGUGGCGAAAGCGGCUCUCUGGCCUGUAACUGACACUGAGGCUCGAAAGCGUGGGGAGCAAACAGG
RNAcentral lists this ribosomal RNA (253 nucleotides) under uncultured bacterium. RNAcentral's name for it is "partial 16S ribosomal RNA". It matches the Rfam family "Bacterial small subunit ribosomal RNA", at positions 524 to 776 of the family's 1533-position model. The record is from RNAcentral.